UACGGAGGGUGCAAGCGUUAAUCGGAAUUACUGGGCGUAAAGCGCGCGUAGGCGGUUGAACAAGUUGGGUGUGAAAUCCCUGGGCUUAACCUAGGAACUGCAUUCAAAACUAUUCAACUCGAGUGCAACAGAGGUCAAUGGAAUUUCCGGUGUAGCAGUGAAAUGCGUAGAGAUCGGAAGGAACACCAGUGGCGAAGGCGAUUGGCUGGGUUGACACUGACGCUGAGGCGCGAAGGCGUGGGGAGCAAACAGG
Molecule: unclassified non-coding RNA, 253 nt
Filed under: uncultured Gammaproteobacteria bacterium
Lineage: Bacteria; Pseudomonadati; Pseudomonadota; Gammaproteobacteria
Description: contains 16S-23S intergenic spacer region
Rfam family: Bacterial small subunit ribosomal RNA
Source: RNAcentral